GCCUAGGUGGUGGAAUGGCAUACACGAAGGUCUCAAAAACCUUUGAGCGCAAGCUCAUGGGAGUUCGACUCUCCCCCUAGGCA
This 83-nucleotide transfer RNA is filed under the name bacterium. RNAcentral's name for it is "tRNA-Leu". It matches the Rfam family "tRNA". Rfam says of the family: Transfer RNA (tRNA) molecules are approximately 80 nucleotides in length. Their secondary structure includes four short double-helical elements and three loops (D, anti-codon, and T loops). The record is from RNAcentral.